Molecule: long non-coding RNA, 571 nt
Organism: Limulus polyphemus (Atlantic horseshoe crab)
Lineage: Eukaryota; Metazoa; Arthropoda; Merostomata; Xiphosura; Limulidae
Exons: 3
Source: RefSeq, a predicted model, not a curated record
ACUCAUCACGUGUUACCAGAGUCACGUGACUUCCGCUUUUGUAACAAUAUCUUUGUUCUGUUUCUUCCCUCAGCCGCCCUACUCCAGAGGACUCGAGAACAGAGAUAGAAGAAACGCCCAGUCUCAUGACAUCGGCCAUCUGUACAGUUGUUCAGGAGGAAGACCCAUCUCUCAACCUCUGUUGCGAGAGUAUAAAUCCCAGUUAUCCAGCCCAUGGGUUGAACAGGAUGUGGACGACAUCUUAACGGUUAACUUAUCUCAUGGGAAGGCAUCAUCUGCCGCCAGGUGGCACGGCGAUUCCAAACAAGGUGCAGGAAAUGCUCAAUUCUAUUGGCAUGGAUACACUAGGCAGCCGGAGGUCGGGGCUAGGUACCUCUAUAGCACCAGAAGAUGUAACGUUGAUAACUUGUUCAUUUUAGAUACACUAGACAGCCGGAGGUCGGGGCUAGGUACCUCUAUAACACCAGAAGAUGUAACGUUGAUAACUUGUUCAUUUUAGAUACACUAGGCAGCCGGAGGUCGGGGCUAGGUACCUCUAUAACACCAGAAGAUGUAACGUUGAUAACUUGUU